AAUCAACGCUGGCGGCGUGCCUAACACAUGCAAGUCGAACGCGACUGGGGCUUCGGCCUCAGUUGAGUGGCGAACGGGUGAGUAACACGUGGGUGACCUACCUUCGAAUGGGGGAUAACGUCCCGAAAGGGACGCUAAUACCGCAUAACAUCCUGCCUUUGAACAGGCGGAGAUCAAAGCCGGGGAUCGCAAGACCUGGCGUUUGAAGAGGGGCCCGCGUCCGAUUAGCUAGUUGGUGAGGUAACGGCUCACCAAGGCGACGAUCGGUAGCCGGCCUGAGAGGGCGGGACGGCCACACUGGGACUGAGACACGGCCAGACUCCUACGGGAGGCAGCAGUGGGGAAUUGUUCGCAAUGGGCGCAAGCCUGACGACGCAACGCCGCGUGGAGGAUGAAGGUCUCGGAUUGUAAACUCCUGUUGCCCGGGACGAAUAGCUCCGACCU
This 444-nucleotide ribosomal RNA is filed under the name uncultured bacterium. Its description in RNAcentral is "bacterial SSU rRNA". It matches the Rfam family "Bacterial small subunit ribosomal RNA", at positions 32 to 461 of the family's 1533-position model. The record is from RNAcentral.